UACGAAGGGGGCUAGCGUUGCUCGGAAUUACUGGGCGUAAAGCGCACGUAGGCGGCUUUCUAAGUCGGGGGUGAAAUCCUGGAGCUCAACUCCAGAACUGCCUUCGAUACUGGAGAGCUUGAGUCCGGGAGAGGUGAGUGGAACUGCGAGUGUAGAGGUGAAAUUCGUAGAUAUUCGCAAGAACACCAGUGGCGAAGGCGGCUCACUGGUCCGGUACUGACGCUGAGGUGCGAAAGCGUGGGGAGCAAACAGGG
This 254-nucleotide ribosomal RNA is filed under the name uncultured bacterium. RNAcentral's name for it is "partial 16S ribosomal RNA". It matches the Rfam family "Bacterial small subunit ribosomal RNA", at positions 524 to 777 of the family's 1533-position model. The record is from RNAcentral.